This is an RNA transcript of Haliotis rubra (blacklip abalone), 3860 nucleotides long. RefSeq lists it as uncharacterized. Lineage: Eukaryota; Metazoa; Mollusca; Gastropoda; Lepetellida; Haliotidae. The record is from RefSeq and is a predicted model, not a curated record. The transcript is spliced from 10 exons.
AUACAUACUUGCUAGGUUAGUUGGGGUAUAUACAUCCUCGACCAAGAACACAUUACCGCACUCCUACCGACUGCAUAGCUGUUAAGCGUUCUUAAGGAGGUUCGAAUCAUGGGCAGUCUCCGGAGGAGGUCUUGUAGGAUUGUAAAGGUUUCCGUGGCACUGCUUGGUCUAUGGUGUGUUUUCAGCUACCUUGGGUUUUCACGAACAAAAACAGAUAUCGUGAAAUGUGAACACAGGAAAAGUGAAAACACAACAGUACUGCAAAGAGAGAAACUGAAUGACACGCAGCUUGUCAGACAUGGCAGUUUCGAAACCAGUCAACUGGUUGACAUUUUUUCGGGCGAAAGUAGCAAACUUGAAGAAGAAACAAAUUUGGUCCGAGUUACCUCCCCAUCCACUGUGCACUGGCAAGGAAACCAAGACAUUGGACAUGUGCAAUGAUACAGCUGCCUGCAAACACCCACUUCCGGUGGCUGACAGCCAAGAAAACAUCCGCAAUAUUCUUACGCCCGUGACCAAACUCAAAGAGGGGGCACUGCAGAGGAUAAAGGGAGUUUUCAACAUACAGGAGAGGAGGAAAUAUGCCUUUGUGACGGCAGCGUCAGCGGAUCACUUUGAUGAAUCCCAGGAGAUGAUCAUGACUCUGGAUAAAUACAUCUUCCCUUAUCUGAGCAACUACUCGUUCUAUUAUUACGACAUGGGUCUGAACAAAAGUCAGGUGAAACUGGUAUGGUCUCUGGGAUUCAUCGACCUCGAAUGCUGACGGAUUAUCUCCUGUGGUUUGAGAGGUUUCUUUUUAUCAUGAGUAUCCCAUCUGAAGGUUUGCUCGCCUCCUUUCCGUCGGAUACAGAUGCAUUAAGGAGUAAAGCAGGAUAAGCUACAGAAGUAUGGAAGAGCUGAAAUAAAACGCUAUCCUUCUAAUUUACUUCCUGAUCGGUUUUCGUACUUGAGGUGUUACACGUGGAAGCCCGUUGUGAUACAGGCUCAUUUUGACAAUGCUGAGUACACAAUUUGGUUGGACGCAUCUGGGCGGUUCGACAAAGGCAACCUACGUGAAAUGUUCGACUUGCUGAAAGAAACAGGCGUGCUUUUGUCUCCAUGGCCAAAAUAUCCUUUUGCCCAACAUUGCUCAAAGUAUAUGUUUUCCUACUUCAACACUGAACCAUGUCACUUUUCAGUUUAUCAUGAAUCUGAAGCCAAUGUUAUUAUGUUACACAACCAGCCAUUCACACGACGACUUGUAAUGGAUCCAUGGGUGUCAUGCGCAGUGGAUCCGAACUGUAUGUGCCAUCCAGGUGCAACAAAACUGUAUUUUUGUUCAUUCGGCAAAAGGAGGUAUGGGAAAUGUCACCGGUAUGACCAGUCUGCCCUCAACUUGAUUCUUUUACAGCUGUUGAGAAGGAAUAUACAUUCUAUACAGUAUGUGAAAAAGAAAUAUGCACAUGUUUCGCGGAAAAAAGGAGAGUUGUAUCUCAAUAACAUGUUCAAAGAAUAACUGUGACGUGUGUAUGUACAGGUAAAUGUGAAUGUGCCAGUACAUGCACAGGCUUUGUCUUGCUCGGGAACAUCUGUUGAUUUAAGUGAUACAGUACUGCAGGCAGAGCAAGUUGCACUUGCUGACAGUUUAAACUUUUGAUAUCUACAAUAUAUUCCAAGGUUUUCUUUUUCAUUCAAAUUCUAUGUAUGAUCUUAAUUAGGUAGUUCCUGAACAACCUGUAGGUAGGUCGAGCAGGCUGUGGCACCACGUGAAGAAAACUCUCCUCAUUGGUCCAAGUGCAAUCAUUAAGCCAGUAUGUCCUUGUGAUGUCAUGCAGCCUGCCGCUACGUCCACACGGUAUCAUUAAGCCUGUCGGUAUGUCUAAAUGGUACCAUUAAGCCUGCAAGUGCCGGUGAUGUCAUGAAGCCUGCCUGUAUAUUCAUGUAUUGUACAUAAGCCUGCUGGUGUGACCAUAUGGUAUCACUAAGCCUGCAUGUCCAUGUGAUGUCUAUAAACACGUCAGUAUGUGUGGUAUCAUUAAGCCUGCUAGUUUGUCAACGUGGUGUCAUUAAGUCUGUUCAAUGGCGACAUGGUAUGACACAGGCUUUGGGGAAUUUUUUGUUUCUGUAUUACAUACACUGCAUCAUCAUGCUUGGUUUACUUUUGUUUUAUUCUACUUAUGUGUAUGGUGCUGGUGGAAAUCAUCAGAGUAUGGUCAAGGGUAGGAUAUAAAAUUUGUUUGGGCGUAUCCCUCGUGCCUCUAAUUUCUAAAAGCUUGUCGGUCAGCUAAUCAUGGGUUUCAUUUGUGAAUAGUUGACAAGACUUUGCAUGUGUUUGGGAAGGAUGUCAUCUGUGGGGCAGGACACACUCCUUCAUUGCGAGCCCCUGAUAUCAUCAUUAUUUGACGAUGACUGAGAUACACGUACUCGGGGUAUGCAGUCAAAGUCGUCCAAUACACUCUGCUCCUGGAUUUCCUGUGUACGUGGAAGUGGUUAUGUUUCUUUAUGGUUUGUUUACAUAUUUGAUCGGGUUUCACAAUUUACACCAUGGUAUUUACACGCAUGGUGACAACCACAAGAUUACCUGGUCCAGACUUGACUUGUUUACAAACAGCAUCGUACAGCUGUAAUACUGCUGAAAUAAAUAUUUACUCAUGAUAUAAUCAUAACUGUACAAUCGACUCUGUUUGAGGAGAGGUCUUUUAUGGAUGUGGAAAUGGUUUUGUCGCUUCUAUUCUAUAGUCGAUGUAUACGUUGGUGAAUAGGUUUGUUAUGUAUGGUAAAUUGUGCAACGUUUUAUAAUAAUAUCCCUCAUUUUCGUUCAAAAUACUGCAUAUUGACACAUCAUCCCUGCUUCGAGAUGGCUUUUUUCAGACCCAGUAUAUUCCAUGGCUCACAAACUCCUGAAUGGUUGGCCUGUGAUGCAACAAAGAAAUAAAGCACGGCUUCUCUACAUACUUACUUUUCCGAUGGGAUCAGUGUGACGGUUGACUUCAUUAUGUACUUAUUAUAUUAACGAUGGUUGUAUUAUUCAUGAUAUUGACUAUGAGUGCUUGAAAUGUAUUUGUGUUUAUUUCUUGUUCUGUUUUAAAGAAUUCCACAACAAAAUAAACCUGGUACUCAAAAAACCAUCCAAUUGUAGUUCUGCAUCCAUUUAAUCGAAGUUCUUUAAUCCAUGAAAGUGUUGAAGCAGGUAUCCAAGCUGUAGAGAAAUCGGAAAUAAAAUCACAGAAGCAGAUCUGAAAUCGGCCUCGUCUCGUUGCCAGAAUUCGAGAAAGGGCGUCCUCAAAGCCAGCAAUUUACUUGCAUUUAGUGCAUGACAGCUGUAAACCAGAUCUUCAGGGCAUAUCCUUCCAUAGAGGGAGUGAACACUGCCGUUGACUAGUGACACCACUGCUCUAGAACUCCUUUCCACAACACAUCCAACUGUCUUCUUUCCACGUUUUCUUAUCAAACUCUAAUUAAAAACGUUGAUGUAUUGCCCCAUGACAAGAGAUUAUCAUCACGCUUCACGCUUCAAAUGAAAGAAGGAUGGGUUAAGUGGCCAUUCUUCUGUGCUUGGUUAACUUACAAAAUCCAAUCUCACUCUCCUCACAACCUCACAACGUGACAAAAAAGUGAAAAAAGGUCACCCUGUCAAUUUGCUAGCAUGGAUUAUUUUCACGAUUGAUGAGCACUGUUAAAAAAUGAGCGAGUUAAAUUGUACGCUGCGUCGGCAUUAUUUCAAGCACAAAGCACGUUCUGCACUUACAGACAACUCCAUUUUAAUUACAAAGUUUUGUAAAAUGCAUAUUUCUUCAUUACAGUAUUAUUUGCAAGUAUAACAGGUCAUAACAUCAGUAUUGUUCCAUAGGCUUAUAAUGUAUGUGUACAGAACCUUUUUU